UCCUACGGGAGGCAGCAGUAGGGAAUCUUCCGCAAUGGACGAAAGUCUGACGGAGCAACGCCGCGUGAGCGAUGAAGGCCUUCGGGUCGUAAAGCUCUGUUGUUAGGGAAGAAUAAGUGCUAGUUGAAUAAGCUGGCACCUUGACGGUACCUAACCAGAAAGCCACGGCUAACUACGUGCCAGCAGCCGCGGUAAUACGUAGGUGGCAAGCGUUGUCCGGAAUUAUUGGGCGUAAAGCGCGCGCAGGCGGUUUCUUAAGUCUGAUGUGAAAGCCCCCGGCUCAACCGGGGAGGGUCAUUGGAAACUGGGAAACUUGAGUGCAGAAGAGGAAAGUGGAAUUCCAAGUGUAGCGGUGAAAUGCGUAGAGAUUUGGAGGAACACCAGUGGCGAAGGCGACUUUCUGGUCUGUAACUGACGCUGAGGCGCGAAAGCGUGGGGAGCAAACAGGAUUAGAUACCCUGGUAGUCCACGCUGUAAACGAUGAGUGCUAAGUGUUAGAGGGUUUCCGCCCUUUAGUGCUGAAGUUAACGCAUUAAGCACUCCGCCUGGGGAGUACGGUCGCAAGACUGAAACUCAAAGGAAUUGACGGGGGCCCGCACAAGUGGUGGAGCAUGUGGUUUAAUUCGA
RNAcentral lists this ribosomal RNA (627 nucleotides) under Bacillus sp. (in: firmicutes). RNAcentral describes it as "bacterial SSU rRNA". It matches the Rfam family "Bacterial small subunit ribosomal RNA", at positions 337 to 954 of the family's 1533-position model. Lineage: Bacteria; Bacillati; Bacillota; Bacilli; Caryophanales; Bacillaceae. The record is from RNAcentral.